GAUGAACGCUGGCGGCGUGCCUAAUACAUGCAAGUCGAGCGAACAGACGAGGAGCUUGCUCCUCUGACGUUAGCGGCGGACGGGUGAGUAACACGUGGAUAACCUACCUAUAAGACUGGGAUAACUUCGGGAAACCGGAGCUAAUACCGGAUAAUAUAUUGAACCGCAUGGUUCAAUAGUGAAAGACGGUUUUGCUGUCACUUAUAGAUGGAUCCGCGCCGCAUUAGCUAGUUGGUAAGGUAACGGCUUACCAAGGCAACGAUGCGUAGCCGAGCUGAGAGGGUGAUCGGCCACACUGGAACUGAGACACGGUCCAGACUCCUACGGGAGGCAGCAGUAGGGAAUCUUCCGCAAUGGGCGAAAGCCUGACGCAGCAACGCCGCGUGAGUGAUGAAGGUCUUCGGAUCGUAAAACUCUUUUAUUAGGGAAGAACAAAUGUGUAAGUAACUAUGCACGUCUUGACGGUACCUAAUCAGAAAGCCACGGCUAACUACGUG
RNAcentral lists this ribosomal RNA (497 nucleotides) under uncultured bacterium. Its description in RNAcentral is "partial 16S ribosomal RNA". It matches the Rfam family "Bacterial small subunit ribosomal RNA", at positions 28 to 507 of the family's 1533-position model. The record is from RNAcentral.